Molecule: ribosomal RNA, 1360 nt
Filed under: uncultured bacterium
Lineage: Bacteria
Description: bacterial SSU rRNA
Rfam family: Bacterial small subunit ribosomal RNA
Source: RNAcentral
GAUGAACGCUAGCUACAGGCUUAACACAUGCAAGUCGAGGGGCAGCAUAGUCUUAGCUUGCUAAGGCCGAUGGCGACCGGCGCACGGGUGAGUAACGCGUAUCCAACCUGCCUUACACUCUUGGACAGCCUUCUGAAAGGGAGAUUAAUACAAGAUGUUAUCAUGAGUAAGCAUUUUCGCAUGAUUAAAGGUUUACCGGUGUAAGAUGGGGAUGCGUUCCAUUAGAUAGUAGGCGGGGUAACGGCCCACCUAGUCUUCGAUGGAUAGGGGUUCUGAGAGGAAGGUCCCCCACAUUGGAACUGAGACACGGUCCAAACUCCUACGGGAGGCAGCAGUGAGGAAUAUUGGUCAAUGGACGAGAGUCUGAACCAGCCAAGUAGCGUGAAAGAUGAAGGUUCUAUGGAUUGUAAACUUCUUUUAUACGGGAAUAAACGAAUCCACGUGUGGAUUUUUGCAUGUACCGUAUGAAUAAGGAUCGGCUAACUCCGUGCCAGCAGCCGCGGUAAUACGGAGGAUCCGAGCGUUAUCCGGAUUUAUUGGGUUUAAAGGGAGCGUAGAUGGGUUGUUAAGUCAGUUGUGAAAGUUUGCGGCUCAACCGUAAAAUUGCAAUUGAUACUGGCAGUCUUGAGUACAGUUGAGGUAGGCGGAAUUCGUGGUGUAGCGGUGAAAUGCUUAGAUAUCACGAAGAACUCCGAUUGCGAAGGCAGCUUACUGACCUGUAACUGACAUUGAUGCUCGAAAGUGUGGGUAUCAAACAGGAUUAGAUACCCUGGUAGUCCACACGGUAAACGAUGAAUACUCGCUGUAGGCGAUAUACAGUCUGCGGCCAAGCGAAAGCAUUAAGUAUUCCACCUGGGGAGUACGCCGGCAACGGUGAAACUCAAAGGAAUUGACGGGGGCCCGCACAAGCGGAGGAACAUGUGGUUUAAUUCGAUGAUACGCGAGGAACCUUACCCGGGCUUAAAUUGCAACCGAAUAUGGCGGAAACGCUAUAGCUAGCAAUAGCGGUUGUGAAGGUGCUGCAUGGUUGUCGUCAGCUCGUGCCGUGAGGUGUCGGCUUAAGUGCCAUAACGAGCGCAACCCUUGCCGAUAGUUACUAACAGGUUAUGCUGAGGACUCUGUCGGGACUGCCAUCGUAAGAUGUGAGGAAGGUGGGGAUGACGUCAAAUCAGCACGGCCCUUACGUCCGGGGCUACACACGUGUUACAAUGGGGGGUACAGAGGGCUGCUACCACGCAAGUGGAUGCCAAUCCCAAAAACCUCUCUCAGUUCGGAUUGAAGUCUGCAACCCGACUUCAUGAAGCUGGAUUCGCUAGUAAUCGCGCAUCAGCCACGGCGCGGUGAAUACGUUCCCGGGCCU